Molecule: transfer RNA, 74 nt
Filed under: Marmota monax (woodchuck)
Lineage: Eukaryota; Metazoa; Chordata; Mammalia; Rodentia; Sciuridae
Description: tRNA.Ala
Source: RNAcentral
UGGGGAUAUAGGUCAGUUGGUAGAGUGCUUGCCUUGCAUGCACAAGACCCUGGGUUCAAUCCCCAGUUCCACAA